Molecule: ribosomal RNA, 458 nt
Filed under: uncultured bacterium
Lineage: Bacteria
Description: bacterial SSU rRNA
Rfam family: Bacterial small subunit ribosomal RNA
Source: RNAcentral
UACGGGAGGCAGCAGUGGGGAAUAUUGCACAAUGGGCGAAAGCCUGAUGCAGCUAUGCCGCGUGUAUGAAGAAGGCCUUAGGGUUGUAAAGUACUUUCAUCGGGGAGGAAAAAAACAAAACUAAUAAUUUUAUUUCUUGACGUUACCCGAAAAAGAAGCACCGGCUAACUCCGUGCCAGCAGCCGCGGUAAUACGGAGGGUGCUAGCGUUAAUCAGAAUUACUGGGCGUAAAGAGCACGUAGGUGGUUUUUUUAAGUCAGAUGUGAAAUCCCUGGGCUUAACCUAGGAACUGCAUUUUGAAACUGAAAUACUAGAGUAUCGUAGAGGGAGGUAGAAUUCUAGGUGUAGCGGUGAAAUGCGUAGAUAUCUGGAGGAAUACCUGUGGCGAAAGCGGCCUCCUAAACGAAUACUGACACUGAGGUGCGAAAGCGUGGGGAGCAAAACAGGGAUUAGAUACC